CCUACGGGGAGCAGCAGUCGAGAAUCAUUCACAAUGGGGGAAACCCUGAUGGUGCGACGCCGCGUGGGGGAAUGAAGGUCUUCGGAUUGUAAACCCCUGUCAUGUGGGAGCAAAUUAAAAAGAUAGUACCACAAGAGGAAGAGACGGCUAACUCUGUGCCAGCAGCCGCGGUAAUACAGAGGUCUCAAGCGUUGUUCGGAAUCACUGGGCGUAAAGCGUGCGUAGGCUGUUUCGUAAGUCGUGUGUGAAAGGCGCGGGCUCAACCCGCGGACGGCACAUGAUACUGCGAGACUAGAGUAAUGGAGGGGGAACCGGAAUUCUCGGUGUAGCAGGGAAAUGCGGAGAUAUCGAGAGGAACACUCGUGGCGAAGGCGGGUUCCUGGACAUUAACUGACGCUGAGGCACGAAGGCCAGGGGAGCGAAAGGGAUUAGAUACCCGGGUAGUC
RNAcentral lists this ribosomal RNA (446 nucleotides) under uncultured bacterium. RNAcentral describes it as "partial 16S ribosomal RNA". It matches the Rfam family "Bacterial small subunit ribosomal RNA", at positions 338 to 795 of the family's 1533-position model. The record is from RNAcentral.